This 253-nucleotide ribosomal RNA is filed under the name uncultured bacterium. Its description in RNAcentral is "partial 16S ribosomal RNA". It matches the Rfam family "Bacterial small subunit ribosomal RNA", at positions 524 to 776 of the family's 1533-position model. The record is from RNAcentral.
UACGAAGGGGGCUAGCGUUGCUCGGAAUUACUGGGCGUAAAGCGCACGUAGGCGGCUUUCUAAGUCGGGGGUGAAAUCCUGGAGCUCAACUCCAGAACUGCCUUCGAUACUGGAAAGCUCGAGUCCGGGAGAGGUGAGUGGAACUGCGAGUGUAGAGGUGAAAUUCGUAGAUAUUCGCAAGAACACCUGAGGCGAAGGCGGCGUUCUGGACUGCUACUGACACUGAGGAACGAAAGCCAGGGGAGCAAACGGG